RNAcentral lists this ribosomal RNA (497 nucleotides) under uncultured bacterium. Its description in RNAcentral is "partial 16S ribosomal RNA". It matches the Rfam family "Bacterial small subunit ribosomal RNA", at positions 28 to 507 of the family's 1533-position model. The record is from RNAcentral.
GAUGAACGCUGGCGGCGUGCCUAAUACAUGCGAGUCGAGCGAACAGACGCGGAGCUUGCUCCUCUGACGUUAGCGGCGGACGGGUGAGUAACACGUGGAUAACCUACCUAUAAGACUGGGAUAACUUCGGGAAACCGGAGCUAAUACCGGAGAAUAUAUUUAACGGCAUGGUUCAAGAGUGAAAGACGGUUUUGCUGUCACUUAUAGAUGGAUCCGCGCCGCAGUAGCUAGUUGGUAAGGUAACGGCUUAACAAGGCAACGAUGCGUAGCCGACCUGAGAGGGUGAUCGGCCCCACUGGAACUGAGACACGGUACAGACUCCUACGGGAGGCAGCAGUACGGAAUCUUCCGCAAUGGGCGAAAGCCUGACGGAGCAACGCCGCGUGAGUGAUGAACGUCUUCGGAUCGUAAAACUCUGUUAUUAGGGAAGAACCAAUGUGUAAGUAACUAUGCACGUCUUGACGGUACCUAAUCAGAAAGCCCCGGCUAACUACGUG